GCCAGCGGUAAUACCACGUUUAAUACACCAGUUCCCCAUGGAUCACUGAAGGUGAGAAUCGUUCCACGUGGUUAGUAUCAGGAUGGGUGACCAUCUGGGCAAUCGCGUGCUGCUGGCA
This 118-nucleotide ribosomal RNA is filed under the name Diaphorina citri (Asian citrus psyllid). Lineage: Eukaryota; Metazoa; Arthropoda; Insecta; Hemiptera; Psyllidae. The record is from RNAcentral.